GGAAUAUUGGACAAUGGGCGAAAGCCUGAUCCAGCAAUGCCGCGUGAGUGAUGAAGGCCUUAGGGUUGUAAAGCUCUUUUACCCGGGAUGAUAAUGACAGUACCGGGAGAAUAAGCCCCGGCUAACUCCGUGCCAGCAGCCGCGGUAAUACGGAGGGGGCUAGCGUUGUUCGGAAUUACUGGGCGUACAGGGCGCGUAGGCGGUAUGUCAAGUCAGGGGUGAGAAGCCUGGGCUCAACCCAGGAAUUGCCUUUGAAACUGGCAAACUAGAGUCCGAAAGAGGAUGGCGGAAUUCCCAGUGUAGAGGUGAAAUUCGUAGAUAUUGGGAAGAACACCGGUGGCGAAGGCGGCCAUCUGGAUCGGCACUGACGCUGAGGCGCGAAAGCGUGGGGAGCAAA
RNAcentral lists this ribosomal RNA (397 nucleotides) under uncultured bacterium. RNAcentral describes it as "bacterial SSU rRNA". It matches the Rfam family "Bacterial small subunit ribosomal RNA", at positions 358 to 772 of the family's 1533-position model. The record is from RNAcentral.